RNAcentral lists this signal recognition particle RNA (265 nucleotides) under Bacillus testis. RNAcentral's name for it is "Bacterial large signal recognition particle RNA". It matches the Rfam family "Bacterial large signal recognition particle RNA". Rfam says of the family: The signal recognition particle (SRP) is a universally conserved ribonucleoprotein involved in the co-translational targeting of proteins to membranes. Archaeal SRP consists of a 7S RNA and homologues of the eukaryotic SRP19 and SRP54 proteins. In most bacteria, the SRP consists of a 4.5S RNA and the Ffh protein (a homologue of the eukaryotic SRP54 protein). Lineage: Bacteria; Bacillati; Bacillota; Bacilli; Caryophanales; Bacillaceae. The record is from RNAcentral.
CCGUACUAGGUGGGGAGGUAGCGGUGCCCUGUACUCGCAAUCCGCUCUAGCGAGACUGAAUCCCUUUUAGAGGGUCGUAUGCUGUAGGGUCUGCCUUUUGUAAGUGGUGUUGACGUCUGGGUCCUGCGCAAUGGAAAUCCAUGAACCAUGUCAGGUCCGGAAGGAAGCAGCAUUAAGUGGAACCUUUCAUGUGCCGCAGGGUCGCCUGGGCUGAGCUAACUACAAAAGUAACGCUUAUGGCAGCGAUUCGACGGAAGGUGUACGG